CAGUAGCCGCGGUAAUACAGAGGAUGCAAGCGUUAUCCGGAAUGAUUGGGCGUAAAGGGCACGCAGGCGGUGACUUAAGUGAGGUGUGAAAGCCCCGGGCUUAACCUGGGAAUUGCAUUUCAUACUGGGUCGCUAGAGUACUUUAGGGAGGGGUAGAAUUCCACGUGUAGCGGUGAAAUGCGUAGAGAUGUGGAGGAAUACCGAAGGCGAAGGCAGCCCCUUGGGAAUGUACUGACGCUCAUGUGCGAAAGCGUGGGGAGCAAACAGGAUUAGAUACCCCCGUAGUCCCUGUCUCUUAUAC
This 301-nucleotide ribosomal RNA is filed under the name uncultured bacterium. RNAcentral's name for it is "partial 16S ribosomal RNA". It matches the Rfam family "Bacterial small subunit ribosomal RNA", at positions 509 to 807 of the family's 1533-position model. The record is from RNAcentral.